Long non-coding RNA from Patiria miniata (bat star), 612 nucleotides. RefSeq lists it as uncharacterized. The transcript has 2 exons. NCBI's taxonomy places the organism in Eukaryota, Metazoa, Echinodermata, Asteroidea, Valvatida, Asterinidae. The record is from RefSeq and is a predicted model, not a curated record.
GGGAAUAUGGGGACCCUGUUGUCCUCUAUUGUUCAACGUCCCCUAUUGAUUCAGAAACAAACUCACAUACUCGCGUACCACUUGGGGUACCAAUAUUGCCCACUUCUUAUUCCCUACUUCUUAUUUCCUACUUCUUAUUCCUUAUCAUUGUUCGCCACUGAAAUCCCUUACGCUAUGGCCUUUCUGAUGUGGGGUACCAAGAUUUCUAAAGAUCAACUUGCGGGGUACUAUUGUCCCUAUUGUUAUUCUUUGUUCUCAGUACCCCGUAAGUACCAAUAUACACGGGUGAAUACGCCGUACGUGCACGCGCUUUAAUUAGCAAUUGAUUCCUAAGUUACAUUAUUGGAAGAUGUUUUGUUUUAAAGGCACAAAAAAAUAAUCACGUUGAGAUAAUGUAAGUAAGCUUAUAUCGCAAUUAGAUACUUGACUUAUUAUUUCUUUCAUUCAAACUUAAAUAUCAAUCGAAUUUACGUAUUUCGUUUCGUAGAAGAUAGCACAAGUGUCGAUUGUGUGCUUUGUGAUUCUACCUUUGUGCUAGACUCUGACCUGUUAUCGACCCUGCUGAACACGUAUAGGUACAGAUCUGCAUAUUAAAAAACAGAUGGUAAAAUU